Molecule: long non-coding RNA, 1515 nt
Filed under: Oncorhynchus mykiss (rainbow trout)
Lineage: Eukaryota; Metazoa; Chordata; Actinopteri; Salmoniformes; Salmonidae
Description: lncRNA (ENSOMYG00000055016.1)
Source: RNAcentral
AUGUUCUAUCCCCCUUUACUCAUGUUAUCCCCAGUUCCACCAGUCAUAUUCCCAGGACAGUUAUCCCCAGUUACACCAGUCAUAUUCCCAGGACAGUUAUCCCCAGUUACACCAGUCAUAGUCCCAGGACAGUUAUCCCCAGUUACACCAGUCAUAUUCCCAGGACAGUUAUCCCAGUUACACCAGUCAUAUUCCCAGGACAGUUAUCCCCAGUUACACCAGUCAUAUUCCCAGGACAGUUAUCCCCAGUUACACCAGUCAUAUUCCCAGGACAGUUAUCCCCAGUUAUACCAGUCAUAUUCCCAGGACAGUUAUCCCAGUUACACCAGUCAUAUUCCCAGGACAGUUAUCCCCAGUUACACCAGUCAUAGUCCCAGGACAGUUAUCCCCAGUUCCACCAGUCAUAUUCCCAGGACAGUUAUCCCAGUUCCUCCAGUCAUAUUCCCAGGACAGUUAUCCCCAGUUACACCAGUCAUAUUCCCAGGACAGUUAUCCCAGUUCCUCCAGUCAUAUUCCCAGGACAGUUAUCCCAGUUCCUCCAGUCAUAUUCCCAGGACAGUUAUCCCAGUUAUACCAGUCAUAUUCCCAGGACAGUUAUCCCCAGUUACACCAGUCAUAUUCCCAGGACAGUUAUCCCCAGUUACACCAGUCAUAGUCCCAGGACAGUUAUCCCCAGUUACACCAGUCAUAUUCCCAGGACAGUUAUCCCAGUUAUACCAGUCAUAUUCCCAGGACAGUUAUCCCAGUUACACCAGUCAUAUUCCCAGGACAGUUAUCCCAGUUCCACCAGUCAUAUUCCCAGGACAGUUAUCCCAGUUACACCAGUCAUAUUCCCAGGACAGUUAUCCCAGUUACACCAGUCAUAUUCCCAGGACAGUUAUCCCCAGUUACACCAGUCAUAUUCCCAGGACAGUUAUCCCCAGUUACACCAGUCAUAUUCCCAGGACAGUUAUCCCCAGUUACACCAGUCAUAUUCCCAGGACAGUUAUCCCCAGUUACACCAGUCAUAUUCCCAGGACAGUUAUCCCCAGUUACACCAGUCAUAUUCCCAGGACAGUUAUCCCCAGUUACACCAGUCAUAGUCCCAGGACAGUUAUCCCCAGUUACACCAGUCAUAGUCCCAGGACAGUUAUCCCCAGUUACACCAGUCAUAUUCCCAGGACAGUUAUCCCCAGUUACACCAGUCAUAUUCCCAGGACAGUUAUCCCCAGUUACACCAGUCAUAUUCCCAGGACAGUUAUCCCCAGUUACACCAGUCAUAGUCCCAGGACAGUUAUCCCCAGUUACACCAGUCAUAGUCCCAGGACAGUUAUCCCCAGUUACACCAGUCAUAGUCCCAGGACAGUUAUCCCCAGUUACACCAGUCAUAGUCCCAGGACAGUUAUCCCCAGUUACACCAGUCAUAGUCCCAGGACAGUUAUCCCCAGUUACACCAGUCAUAGUCCCAGGACAGUUAUCCCCAGUUACACCAGUCAUAGUCCCAGGACAGUUAUCCCAGUUACACCAGUAGGAUAA